RNA transcript from Rhagoletis zephyria (snowberry fruit fly), 4209 nucleotides. RefSeq lists it as uncharacterized. The record is from RefSeq and is a predicted model, not a curated record. NCBI's taxonomy places the organism in Eukaryota, Metazoa, Arthropoda, Insecta, Diptera, Tephritidae.
AAAUUGUUAACAAAGGAAACGACCAGAAAGCUACAAAAGAGCAACGAACUGCCGUUGCGAAUUAACGAACUGAAUACAUUUUCGGGUGCAAUUUUUACCAGCAAAAUUCUUAUACUUCUACUAAUGUAUUUACAAAAACACUAUAACAAUGCAUUUUCCCUCCACAACUGGAAUACACAAAGACAGUCUCCGCGCCAAGAAACAGCUGCCUUUUAAAAAGAAACCGCCCUGAAUAGGUACUACUUUUUCUGCCUGAGCGGAGGAAUAUUCCUACUCGUUGUUCUGCCAAAGUAUAAAUAGAAGGCUGCAAACAUGGAAAUUUCACAGUUGUUGGCGAAUAGUCGUGCAGUGCGGAUCGUUUUGUUAAAGUGAAAAAAAGUAAAAGGAGAUACAUACAUACAUACAUACAUAUAUUCCAGUGUGACGCAGCAGUGUAGCAGAUCUGAGCUGAAUCAUCAAUGUCCAAGGCCAACACUAAUGUGAAGUCAUCGAAGCAUCGUACAAAUAUCUACUUCCACAAUGUGAAAAACCGAGAGAGUUGACACCAUUUACUUACUGGUAGGCAAAACUAGCAAGCCUGGGCUGGGCAUGCCCCUGUUCUGGGAGCCUGGUGUGGUGGUGGUGGUGCUGCGCACGCACGACUGAUGUGUGGAAGAUUAGCUCAGAUGUUGCUUAAUCGUGUGUAUAACAGUUUCCAAUGCAAUGCAUUGCCUGUGGUGGUGUAGAAACGAGAUGGCAAUAGCAGCUUUACUUUUUCGCUUUCGAGUUGAUGUAGAAAGUACGCAAGCGUGAUGAGUACACGUGAAGUACCUGAAAAUUCGUUUUUUGGCGAUUUAACGUAUGACGUAAAUCCAUCCAGUCUAUGGUAAUGUGAAAGUUAUGAUCCAACAACAGAGUGAGUGAGCUAAAACAGAGGGAACAUAGAAAUUCUACACAAAUUGCUGUGGUUGGUGCUAAUGUACUUCGGAGCUAUCCGGAAUGUGAAUGUGGCGAAGGCGGUAUGAGCUACCUCGAUGUACUACAGUUGCAGUUAGUCUGGUCAGUUCAGUACGUGCACCCCCAUAUCUAAAGUGAAGGUGACAUUCUGCGAGAAUUUGUAGCAAAGCGUAUAGCAGCUGGGACAUCAGUUGUAAGCCAUACUCGUCCAUUAACCACGACAGUCAGCAUACACAGUGUUAAGAAUGAAUAUGAAAGAAAUGAACAAGUGGAGCGUGGCGGGGACAAUAUUAGCCAACUACCAUCUAUAUCUGAUUGCGAAUGGUAUACACAAAUAUUUGCGUAGAAAAAUCUUUCGAUUUCAGCAAUACGAAACAGUUGAACGUGCCUGUUCGUAUUUCCUUAACAAACAACACAAGCAACGUCCAAAAGGGGAGUGUUUUUCAUAUGUGAUGAGGCGAGUCUGCUCCUACCAUAAGAGAAGUCUGAAAUUUGCCCCUAUUUAGAGAUGACUGGUCGGUCGUCAGAUACAGAGGUCGAUUUUUGUUGUGCAAGCGUGCCGUAAGCCCAAUGGAUUUUCUCUGCAAAACUUACCAUUAUUUACAGAGUGUGGCUGAAAUAGUUGCUUGGGCCUUGAAAUAUCACUGAUAAAAGACUUCUAGCGCUGACUAAAGAGAUGGCCUGUUUCUCCAUUUUUCGUAUUUUUUUUUUUUUCGUUCUUCGUUUCUUUCCUCUCUGUUUAAAAUUUUGUUACAGCGAUACGACGCAGUUGAACGGUUCCUGUGUGUAUCGAGUCGGUCAUUCAUAUUCAUCAUACAAAUCUCUGCAAACACAACUUCCUAACCGUUGCGUAUAUUAAAGUUUCUGGCAUAAACAAGCUGGGUAUUGAGGAGAGCGUUGAGGUCUGUUAAGAGAAGCCAACCCAAAUUAUCGUAGACUUCUAACACUGCACGGGCAGAUGGAUUUGAGUAUUUAAAAACUACAAAUCAAAUAGUUUAUACUCAUUUCGAGAAAAAUGAGCCAUCUAGAAACUUUUCUUUUUUUGGUUUUUACAGCGAUACACCACAGUAAUUUAUGCUUGUGCGUAUCCUGGCGGUUAAGACAGAGCUGUUGGCAGUUAGAGCCUUCAUGCCUUCACCCAUUAGAAACUUCGAAGUGGUGAGGUUAGGUACAACAUAUCUUGCACUAAUUUAUACCAUUACAGCAUCAAGAAAGGGAAUCCAAAACAUGACCAACCAUAAAUUAUAGGCCACCAGCAAUGGGUACUCAUCGAACGACCGACAUACCAGCGGGUAUUUCAACGGACUUAACUAUUUUAAAGUGAUUUUCUUUUAGCGAUGUGACACAGUUGAACGUGCCUGUGUGCAUCUGGGGUCCUCUGAGCACAGCGAAAGAUUUAAUAGAACUGCACCAAUUUAUAUCAUCAGAUUGUAAAGCGUUGAGAGCAACACGACAUUGUUCCGAUCUUUUUCGCUUGUAAGCACUAUUGCAAAUUUUCACUUCACUAAUCCAUGAUUUGUAGGAAAUAAUGCAAUACAGUUGAACGUACCUGAGUUUGCAUAGGAUAUCAUCAAUACAGCAAUAAUAUAUAUGCUUUAUUUGGCAAGAAAUUUAAGCUAUUAGCCUAGUGUGUAAGGACGAUUUAGCCAAUAUUUUUAUGCUGGCUAAGACUUCCGUGCUCACUAAGCUAAUAGCUUCAAUUUCUGCUCAAAUAAUACGCGCCUAAUGUUAAAAUCUGGGCCUAACGAAAACACUGACAGCAACACGACAUUGUUCAGAACUUUUUCGCUCGUAAGCACUAUUGCAAAUUUUCUCUUCACUAAUCCAUGAUUUAUAGGAAACAAUGCAAUACAGUUGAACGUACCUGAGUUUGCAUAGGAUAUCAUCAAUACAGCUAAAAUCUUAAAAUCUGACGUAAUGAUCAUGGCCACAACAAAACAUAGAGAGCAACAACCAUAUUGUUUCGAUCAUAUGCGAUUGUAAGAACAAAUACGAUUUUCUUUUCACUAAUGAUAAUUUGUAGGAAAAGAUGCGACACAGUUGAACGUGCCUGCGUGCAUCUACAUAGAAACAUCGUACGACCUGAGAAGCUUUUCACUGAGAAAAUUUCACUUCCCCGUAACACCAUAUUGAGCGCAAGCAACACAAAUUGUUUAAAUCUUAACGACCGUAAGACGGAUUCAAAUUUUCUCUUAACUAAUGCAUACUUUGUAGGAAGUGUAUUCCAUCCACGUUGUAUAUUCACUGAUUCAGCAACACGACCUACAAACUUAAGUACACCAGUGAGAAAACGUCGUAGAGAGGGCAUCCUAAUGUUUAAAAGUGGCAAAGGCAAUCGUGUAACACAGUUGACCGUACCUGAGUAUGCAUAGGAAAUCAUCAGUACAGCAAUAAUAGUAAAAUCUAACGUAAUGAUCAUGGACAACACGAAAAUAUUGGGCGCAACACGACAUUGUUCCGAUCUUGUUUGCUCGUAAGGACAAUUGCAAAUUUUCUCUUCACUAAUCCAUGAUUUGUAGGAAACAAUGCAACACAGUUGAACGUACCUGAGUUUGCAUAGGAAAUCAUCAAUACAGCAGUAACCUUAAAGGCUAAGCUAAUAUAUGGGCAUCACAAAACAUUGAGAGCAACAUCACACUGUUUCGAUCAUAUACGAUUGUAAGAAAAAAAUGCGAUUUUCUUUUGACUAAUGCAUAAUUUGUAGGAAAAGAUGCGACGCAGUUGAACGUGCCUGCGUGCAUCUACAUAUGUAUGUAGAUACAACGUAAGACCUGCCAAGAUUUGAGAAUUGUGUUUCCCGUAGCACCAAUAUACCUACCUUAUUGAGAGCACACAAACUGUUUGAACCUUAUCGAUCGUAAGGCGUAUGGUAAUUUUCUCUUAACUAAUUCAUAAUUUGUAGAAAGUGUCUAUUCCAUCGGCGUUGUAUUCACUGAUUCAACAACAAGGCUGCAAUCUAAAGUAUACCAUUGACAAAAAACAAAAAAAAAAACGUCGAAGAGAGGGCAUCCUUAUGUUUAAAAAUGGCAAAAGGGAAUCGUGCCAAAUUACUAGAUGAUUGCUGUUUUCAUCGGAGAUAGGUAGAUUUUAAUAUCUGCAGUAAUAUUAUUUUCCAGUUCCUAGCGCAGAAGAGUUGAAACACCAGGCCAUGCAUGUCUAGGCGUAUUUGGCUCGAUUGGGGGAAACACAAGCAGAAAGUCUUACGCUCCUAAGUACCUACCAAUCAUCUACUUAUAUCAAAUGUUUAUUUUUGAGUUGUGAACCACACACACA